Molecule: ribosomal RNA, 484 nt
Filed under: uncultured bacterium
Lineage: Bacteria
Description: partial 16S ribosomal RNA
Rfam family: Bacterial small subunit ribosomal RNA
Source: RNAcentral
AUUGAACGCUGGCGGCAUGCUUUACACAUGCCAGUCGAACGGCAGCGCGGGCUUCGGCCUGGCGGCGAGUGGCGAACGGGUGAGUAAUACAUCGGAACGUGCCCAGUAGUGGGGGAUAGCUCGGCGAAAGCCGGAUUAAUACCGCAUACGACCUGAGGGUGAAAGCGGGGGAUCUUCGGACCUCGCGCCAUUGGAGCGGCCGAUGGCAGAUUAGCUAGUUGGUGGGGUAAAGGCCUACCAAGGCGACGAUCUGUAGCUGGUCUGAGAGGACGACCAGCCACACUGGGACUGAGACACGGCCCAGACUCCUACGGGAGGCAGCAGUGGGUAAUUUUGGACAAUUGGCGAAAGCCUGAUCCAGCAAUGCCGCGUGUGUGAUGAAGGCCUUCGGGUUGUAAAGCACUUUUGGCGGGAACGAAAAGGACUGUGCCAAUACCACGGUUCGAUGACGGUACCCGCAGAAUAAGCACCGGCUAACUACGUG